Molecule: long non-coding RNA, 531 nt
Organism: Melospiza melodia melodia
Lineage: Eukaryota; Metazoa; Chordata; Aves; Passeriformes; Passerellidae
Exons: 4
Source: RefSeq, a predicted model, not a curated record
GGGAGGGACCGGGAUCGCACCGAGGCACACGGGCCGUGCCGUGCCAGCCUCGUGUCCCGCGGGGAGCUGCCCCGGGCCCCUCUGCCUGCCCGGGAGAGCCCCGCGCUUCUCCCAUGGUCACCGCAGCAGCUGCCCCCGGCUCAGGCGGUGUUCGGCCUCCAUCCGGGCAGCUCUUGAGGUUUUUCCUGCAUCUGGGAGUCAAGACUCUGGGUGGUUAAGGGAAGGAAUCAGCCUGUGGGGAUCUGGUUCCUGCUGUUCCCAGGAAAGGUGAUGCAUCUGCAAGAGCUUCGGCCUUUGGACUGCUCGCUAACCACACGUGUGUGUGUCCCAGCACGGAAGGGUGAAAUAUUUCUGUUCAUUCCCAAAUAAACGCUGACGUUUCAAUUGGCCGUGGCUCCAGAGAAUCCAGAACACUUUCUCGCUGGCAGUGUCACCGACCCCUCACCCGGGCUGAUCUGGGCUGUGUUUGCACUGGGGCUGUCACCAGAGCCUGGUCAGGAGAGGUGGGACCGGCCCUUGGCGUCACCAGAG